UCAUAAUAUAUUUCUUUAGAUUACUUUAUAUUGCUUGAUCUAAUUAGCAACAACAUGAUCUAAUAGUAGAUUUUACAAAAUCCAUCAUACUCACCUCAUGUGAGUAUAAAGAAGUAGCAAAUUUAAUAAAACUUUGAUGUGAGGCUUUACAAGCAAAGAAAGAUGGUUAAAAAGGAGAAAGAUAAGAGACUCAUAAAUGGAAGCAAGUACAAUAAAAAGAAACUAGUGUGUAAUGUAUGGUAAAGCAAUCAAAGUAUCAAUGUGCAAUAUAAAAGAAACUAGUGUAAAAUGUAAAAUUCUUCUUUUCAUCUUAUUCCAACUUCUCUGAAUUUCUAUCAUUUAACAUCUAUUUACAUUCUAUAAUGCCACCUACAUAACUUCCUUCA
Molecule: long non-coding RNA, 386 nt
Filed under: Physcomitrium patens
Lineage: Eukaryota; Viridiplantae; Streptophyta; Bryopsida; Funariales; Funariaceae
Description: long non-coding RNA (PPAT_LNC009770)
Source: RNAcentral